GACGAACGCUGGCGGCGUGCUUAACACAUGCAAGUCGAACGGAAAGGCCCUGCUUUUGUGGGGUGCUCGAGUGGCGAACGGGUGAGUAACACGUGAGUAACCUGCCCUUGACUUUGGGAUAACUUCAGGAAACUGGGGCUAAUACCGGAUAGGAGCUCCUGCUGCAUGGUGGGGGUUGGAAAGGUUCGGCGGUUGGGGAUGGACUCGCGGCUUAUCAGCUUGUUGGUGGGGUAGUGGCUUACCAAGGCUUUGACGGGUAGCCGGCCUGAGAGGGUGACCGGCCACAUCGGGACUGAGAUACGGCCCAGACUCCUACGGGAGGCAGCAGUGGGGAAUAUUGCACAAUGGGCGGAAGCCUGAUGCAGCAACGCCGCGUGCGGGAUGACGGCUUUCGGGUUGUAAACCGCUUUCGCCUGUGACGAAGCGUGAGUGACGGUAAUGGGUAAAGAAGCACCGGCUAACUACGUG
This 468-nucleotide ribosomal RNA is filed under the name uncultured bacterium. RNAcentral describes it as "partial 16S ribosomal RNA". It matches the Rfam family "Bacterial small subunit ribosomal RNA", at positions 28 to 507 of the family's 1533-position model. The record is from RNAcentral.